AACGUAGCGAAAGUUACGCUAAUACCGCAUACGAUCUAAGGAUGAAAGUGGGGGAUCGCAAGACCUCAUGCUCGUGGAGCGGCCGAUAUCUGAUUAGCUAGUUGGUAGGGUAAAAGCCUACCAAGGCAUCGAUCAGUAGCUGGUCUGAGAGGACGACCAGCCACACUGGAACUGAGACACGGUCCAGACUCCUACGGGAGGCAGCAGUGGGGAAUUUUGGACAAUGGGCGAAAGCCUGAUCCAGCAAUGCCGCGUGAGUGAAGAAGGCCUUCGGGUUGUAAAGCUCUUUUGUCAGGGAAGAAACGGUGAAGGCUAAUAUCCUUUGCUAAUGACGGUACCUGAAGAAUAAACACCGGCUAACUACGUGCCAGCAGCCGCGGUAAUACGUAGGGUGCAAGCGUUAAUCGGAAUUACUGGGCGUAAAGCGUGCGCAGGCGGUUUUGUAAGUCUGAUGUGAAAUCCCCGGGCUCAACCUGGGAAUUGCAUUGGAGACUGCAAGGCUAGAAUCUGGCAGAGGGGGGUAGAAUUCCACGUGUAGCAGUGAAAUGCGUAGAUAUGUGGAGGAACACCGAUGGCGAAGGC
This 582-nucleotide ribosomal RNA is filed under the name uncultured beta proteobacterium. Its description in RNAcentral is "bacterial SSU rRNA". It matches the Rfam family "Bacterial small subunit ribosomal RNA", at positions 145 to 722 of the family's 1533-position model. The record is from RNAcentral. Lineage: Bacteria; Pseudomonadati; Pseudomonadota; Betaproteobacteria.